UGGGGAAUUUUGGACAAUGGGCGAAAGCCUGAUCCAGCAAUGCCGCGUGUGUGAAGAAGGCCUUCGGGUUGUAAAGCACUUUUGUCCGGAAAGAAAUCCUUGGCUCUAAUACAGUCGGGAGAUGACGGUACCGGAAGAAUAAGCACCGGCUAACUACGUGCCAGCAGCCGCGGUAAUACGUAGGGUGCAAGCGUUAAUCGGAAUUACUGGGCGUAAAGCGUGCGCAGGCGGUUUGCUAAGACCGAUGUGAAAUCCCCGGGCUCAACCUGGGAACUGCAUUGGUGACUGGCAGGCUAGAGUAUGGCAGAGGGGGGUAGAAUUCCACGUGUAGCAGUGAAAUGCGUAGAGAUGUGGAGGAAUACCGAUGGCGAAGGCAGCCCCCUGGGCCAAUACUGACGCUCAUGCACGAAAAGCGUGGGGGAGCAAACAGGAUUAGAUACCCCUGGUAGUCCACGCCCUAAAACGAUGUCAACUAGUUGUUGGGGAUUCAUUUCCUUAGUAACGUAGCUAACGCGUGAAGUUGACCGCCUGGGGAGUACGGUCGCAAGAUUAAAACUCAAAUGAAUUGACGGGGUCAUAGCUGUUUCCU
This 589-nucleotide ribosomal RNA is filed under the name uncultured bacterium. RNAcentral's name for it is "partial 16S ribosomal RNA". It matches the Rfam family "Bacterial small subunit ribosomal RNA", at positions 355 to 1375 of the family's 1533-position model. The record is from RNAcentral.